Molecule: ribosomal RNA, 301 nt
Filed under: uncultured bacterium
Lineage: Bacteria
Description: partial 16S ribosomal RNA
Rfam family: Bacterial small subunit ribosomal RNA
Source: RNAcentral
CAGUCCCACGGUAAUACGUAGGGUGCAAGCGUUAAUCGGAAUUACUGGGCGUAAAGCGUGCGCAGGCGGUUAUAUAAGACAGAUGUGAAAUCCCCGGGCUCAACCUGGGAACUGCAUUUGUGACUGUAUAGCUAGAGUACGGCAGAGGGGGAUGGAAUUCCGCGUGUAGCAGUGAAAUGCGUAGAUAUGCGGAGGAACACCGAUGGCGAAGGCAAUCCCCUGGGCCUGUACUGACGCUCAUGCACGAAAGCGUGGGGAGCAAACAGGAUUAGAUACCCCAGUAGUCCCUGUCUCUUAUACA